RNAcentral lists this ribosomal RNA (478 nucleotides) under uncultured bacterium. Its description in RNAcentral is "partial 16S ribosomal RNA". It matches the Rfam family "Bacterial small subunit ribosomal RNA", at positions 28 to 507 of the family's 1533-position model. The record is from RNAcentral.
GAUGAACGCUGGCGGCGUGCUUAACACAUGCAAGUCGAACGGGAAUUAUCUUAUUGAAACUUCGGUCGAUUUAAUUUAAUUCUAGUGGCGGACGGGUGAGUAACGCGUGGGUAACCUGCCUUAUACAGGGGGAUAACAGUCAGAAAUGGCUGCUAAUACCGCAUAAGCGCACAGAGUUGCAUGGCUCAGUGUGAAAAACUCCGGUGGUAUAAGAUGGACCCGCGUUGGAUUAGCUGGUUGGUGGGGUAACGGCCCACCAAGGCGACGAUCCAUAGCCGGCAUGGGAGGGUGAACGGCCACAUUGGGGCUGAGACACGGCCCAGACUGCUACGGGAGGGAGCAGUGGAGAAUAUUGCACAAUGGGGGAAACCCUGAUGCAGCGACGCCGCGUGAAGGAAGAAGUAUGUCGGUAUGUAAACUUCUAUCAGCAGGGAAGAUAGUGACGGUACCUGACUAAGAAGCCCCGGCUAACUACGUG